UACAGAGGCCCCAAGCGUUAUCCGGAAUUACUGGGCGUAAAGGGUGUGUAGGCGGCUAUAUUAGUCGGAUGUUAAAGUCCGGGGCUCAACUCCGGGUUCGCGUUCGAAACGGUAUAGCUUGAGUAUGUGAGAGGUCAAGGGAACUCAUAGUGUAGGGGUGAAAUCCGUUGAUAUUAUGGGGAACACCGAAAGCGAAGGCACUUGACUGGCGCAUUACUGACGCUGAAACACGAAACCCUGGGUAGCGAAAGGG
Molecule: unclassified non-coding RNA, 253 nt
Filed under: uncultured Parcubacteria group bacterium
Lineage: Bacteria
Description: contains 16S-23S intergenic spacer region
Rfam family: Bacterial small subunit ribosomal RNA
Source: RNAcentral